AAAAAGACAAACCCUAGAUUUGCGUGUCUAAUUUUGACUGUCCGUCUUAUAUGAAAUUUUUUUAUAAUUCGUAUUUUUAUUGGUAUUAGAUGAUAAAACAUGAUUAAUACUUUGUGCGUGACUUGUUUUUUUAUUUUUUUUAUAAUUGUUAAAUAUUGGGCACGGAAACC
RNAcentral lists this microRNA precursor (170 nucleotides) under Oryza nivara. RNAcentral describes it as "MIR812 microRNA precursor family". It matches the Rfam family "MIR812 microRNA precursor family". Lineage: Eukaryota; Viridiplantae; Streptophyta; Magnoliopsida; Poales; Poaceae. The record is from Rfam by way of RNAcentral.